RNAcentral lists this ribosomal RNA (507 nucleotides) under Stumpffia yanniki. RNAcentral's name for it is "partial 16S ribosomal RNA". It matches the Rfam family "Bacterial large subunit ribosomal RNA", at positions 1921 to 2616 of the family's 2925-position model. Lineage: Eukaryota; Metazoa; Chordata; Amphibia; Anura; Microhylidae. The record is from RNAcentral.
AGUUAAACGGCCGCGGUACCCUAACCGUGCAAAGGUAGCACAAUCACUUGUUCUUUAAAUCAGGACUAGUAUGAACGGCCUAACGAGGGCUAUACUGUCUCCCCCCUUCAAUCAGUGAAACUGAUCCCCUCGUGAAGAAGCGAGGAUAUCCCUAUAAGACGAGAAGACCCCAUGGAACUUUAAACUAGUAUCACCUCUUUAUUUUGAGAUACAUGACUACUAGUCUUUCGGCUGGGGCGACCACGGGGAAAACCAAAACCCCCGAGAUGAAAGGAAUUAUCCUUAUCCAAGAACUACUAUUCAAAGAAUCAAUAAAUGACUUAAUUGACCCAAUACUUGAUCAACGAACCAAGCUACCCUGGGGAUAACAGCGCAAUCCAUUUCAAGAGACCUCAUCAACAAAUGGGCUUACGACCUCGAUGUUGGAUCAGGGAAUCCAAGUGGUGCAGCCGCUACUAAAGGUUCGUUUGUUCAACGAUUAAAACCCUACGUGAUCUGAGUUCAGAC